RNAcentral lists this ribosomal RNA (1370 nucleotides) under uncultured bacterium. RNAcentral's name for it is "bacterial SSU rRNA". It matches the Rfam family "Bacterial small subunit ribosomal RNA", at positions 28 to 1381 of the family's 1533-position model. The record is from RNAcentral.
GACGAACGCUGGCGGCGUGCCUAAUACAUGCAAGUAGAACGCUGAAGAGAGGAGCUUGCUCUUCUUGGAUGAGUUGCGAACGGGUGAGUAACGCGUAGGUAACCUGCCUUGUAGCGGGGGAUAACUAUUGGAAACGAUAGCUAAUACCGCAUAACAAUGGAUGACACAUGUCAUUUAUUUGAAAGGGGCAAUUGCUCCACUACAAGACGGACCUGCGUUGUAUUAGCUAGUAGGUGAGGUAAUGGCUCACCUAGGCGACGAUACAUAGCCGACCUGAGAGGGUGAUCGGCCACACUGGGACUGAGACACGGCCCAGACUCCUACGGGAGGCAGCAGUAGGGAAUCUUCGGCAAUGGGGGCAACCCUGACCGAGCAACGCCGCGUGAGUGAAGAAGGUUUUCGGAUCGUAAAGCUCUGUUGUAAGUCAAGAACGGGUGUGAGAGUGGAAAGUUCACACUGUGACGGUAGCUUACCAGAAAGGGACGGCUAACUACGUGCCAGCAGCCGCGGUAAUACGUAGGUCCCGAGCGUUGUCCGGAUUUAUUGGGCGUAAAGCGAGCGCAGGCGGUUUGAUAAGUCUGAAGUUAAAGGCUGUGGCUCAACCAUAGUUCGCUUUGGAAACUGUCAAACUUGAGUGCAGAAGGGGAGAGUGGAAUUCCCUGUGUUGCGGUGAAAUGCGUAGAUAUAUGGAGGAACACCGGUGGCGAAAGCGGCUCUCUGGUCUGUAACUGACGCUGAGGCUCGAAAGCGUGGGGAGCGAACAGGAUUAUAUACCCUGGUAGUCCACGCCGUAAACGAUGAGUGCUAAGUGUUGGAUCCUUUCCGGGAUUCAGUGCCGCAGCUAACGCAUUAAGCACUCCGCCUGGGGAGUACGACCGCAAGGUUGAAACUCAAAGGAAUUGACGGGGGCCCGCACAAGCGGUGGAGCAUGUGGUUUAAUUUCGAAGCAACGCGAAGAACCUUACCAGGUCUUGACAUCCCGAUGCUAUUUCUAGAGAUAGAAAGUUACUUCGGUACAUCGGUGACAGGUGGUGCAUGGUUGUCGUCAGCUCGUGUCGUGAGAUGUUGGGAUAAGUCCCGCAACGAGCGCAACCCCUAUUGUUAGUUGCCAUCAUUCAGUUGGGCACUCUAGCGAGACUGCCGGUAAUAAACCGGAGGAAGGUGGGGAUGACGUCAAAUCAUCAUGCCCCUUAUGACCUGGGCUACACACGUGCUACAAUGGUUGGUACAACGAGUUGCGAGUCGGUGACGGCGAGCUAAUCUCUUAAAGCCAAUCUCAGUUCGGAUUGUAGGCUGCAACUCGCCUACAUGAAGUCGGAAUCGCUAGUAAUCGCGGAUCAGCACGCCGCGGUGAAUACGUUCCCGGGCCU